UUCUGGUCCUGUCUGCUAGAGUAUUAGUUAUCCCUCUCAAUUUGGUGUCAUCUGCAAACUUGAUGAUCAUGCCUUCUAACCCUUCGUCUAAGUCAUUAAUAAAGAUGUUGAACAGAACUGGGCCCGGGACGGAACCCUGCGGCACUCCACUCGUCACUUCUUUCCAGGAUGAGGAGGAAGCAUUGAUAGGGACCACAUUUGCCCUCCUCCAAUCUGAUGGGACUUCUCCCGUUCUCCAAGAACUCUCAAAGAUGAUUGCCGGUGGUUCUGAAAUAGCAUCCACUAGUUCCUUCAAUACUCUUGGAUGUAGUUGAUCUGGCCCUGGGGACUUGAAUUCAUUUCGAAGAGGAUUAUGAAGCUACAUUCUGGAAUGACUUGAGAAACUGCAAGUCACUUCUGGUGUGAGGGAAUUGACCGUCUGCAAGGACAUUGCCCAAGGUCUCCUGGAUGUUUGAUGUUUUUACAUCCUUGUGGGAGGCUUCUCUCAUGUCCCUGCAUGGGGAGCUGGAGCUGACAGAAGAAGCUCAUCCCCUCUCUCCCCAGAUUCAAACCUGCAACCUUCAGGUCAGCUACCCAACCUUCAAGUCAGCAGUCAUGCCGGCACAAGGGUUUAACUCAUUGCACCACUGGCUGAAUAAAUGAUAUCAUGAGACUUGGGAAACCCAGAAAGAAAGAAAGACACAGUAGUAGGAACGUUAUGCAGUUUUCAUCCAGUGUCCAUACGUUUUGAAGUCUUUCAGGAAAUGGUAUUAGGCAGAAAUGCACAUGUAGGAAUUGUGGGGUUUUGCACACACACAAACAUACACAAAACACUGUUUCCAGACAGGCACAACUGUGCUGUGGCCAAGCUUGCUGUUGUUAUGCAAAAAACAGCAGUACAAAAUUUUUCCACCAGCACAAAAAAAUGGGUUCACACUUUUGUUUUGCAAUAUUUUUGUGUUCUGUGCAAGAGUUUUUUUGUUGUGUAGUAUUUUUGUUACAUUGCUGGAGUUUUGUUGGCAGAAAACAACAGUGGUGCACAUUUGUUCCUGCAUAGAAUGAUUUCCUCCCUUAAAAACUACGGGAAUGCUGGGCAAAAAUUGUGCAGAAACAUUUGAUUUCUUGGCAGUGGUGAGAAAACUGGGAGAACACCUUCUCACUUGCCAAAAUGAAACAGUAAAAUAUUAUCAUCCGUAAAAUGUAUAGAAUAUGUCAUUGUCAAUGUACAGUGUAUAGCAUGAUUGGUAAUCAUGGUUUCAUUUGGCUGCAUCUGACAAAAUGACAAAAUAUCUAAGAAUUUCCUAAGGCCCUCCAAAAAAAUCUACAGUAACCUCAACAAUGUAUCUCUUAUAAACGGAUUGCAUUGUACAUGAGAUCUUAAAUUCCACAAAGAAAAAAAAUCUGUAUAUGUCCAGGGUUCAUAUGCCUGCUGAAACAUUGAUCUCUCUGCAUAUAGCAAUACAGUGUUCCCUCACUACUUCGCGGUUCACUUUUCGUGGAUUUGCUGUUUCGUGGUUUUUCAAUAAACUCUAAAAGAUUAUUAUAAAUCAUAAAAAAUUACAAUUUACAGCCUAAGGAAGGGAGGAAGGAGAAGCCAAAGGGAGAGAAAAGGAGCCCAAGCAGCAACAAGAGGAGAAGGAGGCUAUUUACCAACACAUGAUUGGUUGAUAAAGACUUAUAAUAGUAUAUAACUACUAAAAUAAUGUGUAAAUAUUAAAAUAAAUAUAGUGUCCCUACUUUGCGGAUUUUCACUUAUUGCGGGUGGUCCUGGAACCUAACCCCCGCGAUAAGUGAGGGAACACUGUAGCUAAAUAAGGAUUACAAAUAUUUUUAAAUCUAAGAGGGCACCUCUUUAGGAUCUCUAGGUCCUCCAACACAACUCCAUGGUGAACUUUGGGAAAUUGACCAUAUCAUUGCACUGGAUGAUCUACAAAUACCUAGAUAAACUUUUUUUCUAGGAAUCUCUAGGUCCUGUAGUACAACUCUAUAUCAAUUUCUGGUGUUAGUGAUUCCUAGAGUUUAGGGAAUUUAGGUCCAACAUUAUAUAUUCUGGUAUCUUUAUUCUAGUCCAGUGAUUCUCAACUUUUAUUCCACCUGGUGUUUUGGACCUCAGCACUCAGAAUUCUUGACUGUUGGCCAAACUGGCAGGGAUUUCUGGGAAUUUUCCCAAUCUAACAGGUCUUUGAUGCUGGCCCUAGAACCUUGGUAUGCUUAUGUGGGUAUAUGUGUUCUGCCCAGGUCUUAAAUCUGUGGGAUGGUUGCAAGAGUAUGACUACAGAAGAGUGAGAAAAUAUUCUAAAUCAGAACUUAAAUAUUAACCUUAAAAUGAUUGGAUCAUGUGUGAGAGAUAUGAUGUUUGCUGUUAGUUUUAAUUGAUAGAUUAGGGCUGCAUGUUUGUCCCACUAACUUCAACAGAACAUAUUUACAAUGUAUGUGUGUGAUUGCCUUGUUAGUUGUUAAAUCUCCAAAUAAAGGAAAAGAAUUGAAACUUGGUAAACUUUUAUGUUCAGACACACUGCUUCCAAAAAAAAGGGACUGCCUUCACUGGACAACAAUUACAGCAGUUGUUCACAAAGUCAUUUUCUCAAGCUGUGUAAGCAACACACGCAAUUUUCAUGAUCAAUGGAGUUAAUGAAUAUUCUUACCUGUAGAAAAAGCAAGCAUUUUAAAUUUCUUCAAAAUGAUCAAUACCAUAUUAUUACUUAAAUGUAAAGGUAAGAGCUUCUACAAUAGCAUUCCUGCUUCCUGCCUUCUGGACCACAAGCCUGUGUUCAUGUUUACAUCAAGGUCGGCGGCAGUUGCUUAAUCGCCAGAGCAAAGAGCAGCAAAGAACAGAAAAGGGAAGCACCACCAUCAGCGCUACAUUUUUAGUUACCAUGAGUGGUUUGCUUUUCCAUCGUGAGACAACACUUCAGUCUUCUACUAGUUAGAGCGAGGAAAUGAUUAGUGCUCUAUUAACUGGUGGGGUCAUUGUUGUAUGUUGUGUAUUUAUGUGUGUUUUUUUCCUUUUCUUUCCCCCCUCCUUUUGUUGACACUGGAGUUGCAACAAAUUAAACCUUAGAAGAGAGUUGAAGAGUACGCCCUCCUGUGAUGGGACAAGGAUUGUUACUGACUGGUUGAUGCCGCAGAGGGGUGUGUGUCCUUGUUGGUUCUCUUGGACAUCUCAGUGGCUUUCAAUACCAUCGACCAUGAUAUCCGUCUGAGUCGGCUCUCUGGAAUAGGUAUUGGGGGUGCUGCACUGCAGUGGCUCCGCUCCUUCCUAGAGGGCCGUACUCACAUCGUAAAGCUGGGAGACUCCUGCUCGGACCCCUGGCCUUUGACCUGUGGGGUCCCGC
Molecule: long non-coding RNA, 3314 nt
Organism: Anolis carolinensis (green anole)
Lineage: Eukaryota; Metazoa; Chordata; Lepidosauria; Squamata; Anolidae
Source: Ensembl